GGUUGACCUCGGAUCAGGUAGGGAUACCCGCUGAACUUAAGCAUAUCAAUAAGCGGAGGAAAAGAAACCAACCGGGAUUGCCUCAGUAACGGCGAGUGAAGCGGCAAGAGCUCAAAUUUGAAAUCUGGCCCCCUCGGGGUCCGAGUUGUAAUUUGCAGAGGAUGCUUCGGGUGCGGCCCCCGUCUAAGUGCCCUGGAACGGGCCGUCAUAGAGGGUGAGAAUCCCGUCUGGGACGGGGUGUCCGCGUCCGUGUGAAGCUCCUUCGACGAGUCGAGUUGUUUGGGAAUGCAGCUCUAAAUGGGUGGUAAAUUUCAUCUAAAGCUAAAUACUGGCCGGAGACCGAUAGCGCACAAGUAGAGUGAUCGAAAGAUGAAAAGCACUUUGAAAAGAGAGUUAAAAAGCACGUGAAAUUGUUGAAAGGGAAGCGCUUGCGACCAGACUCGCCCGCGGGGUUCAGCCGGCAUUCGUGCCGGUGUACUUCCCCGUGGGCGGGCCAGCGUCGGUUUGGGCGGCAGGUCAAAGGCCCCCGGAAUGUAGUGCCCUUCGGGGCACCUUAUAGCCGGGGGUGCAAUGCUGCCAGCCUGGACCGAGGAACGCGCUUCGGCACGGACGCUGGCAUAAUGGUUGUAAACGACC
RNAcentral lists this ribosomal RNA (636 nucleotides) under Aspergillus elegans. RNAcentral's name for it is "eukaryotic LSU rRNA". It matches the Rfam family "Eukaryotic large subunit ribosomal RNA", at positions 1 to 649 of the family's 3401-position model. The record is from RNAcentral. Lineage: Eukaryota; Fungi; Ascomycota; Eurotiomycetes; Eurotiales; Aspergillaceae. RNAcentral also lists the same sequence under 1 other name.